Long non-coding RNA from Siniperca chuatsi (mandarin fish), 4652 nucleotides. RefSeq lists it as uncharacterized. Lineage: Eukaryota; Metazoa; Chordata; Actinopteri; Centrarchiformes; Sinipercidae. The transcript has 2 exons. The record is from RefSeq and is a predicted model, not a curated record.
UUUAUGAUUUUUUAUGUAUUUUAUAUUCUUAAAUUAUUUGUGGCUGUUCAUAUUCAGCAUUGUGCAAUCAGAUGUUGCAGUAGCCUUUUAUUUUAUCUUUUUAGUUUAGGUUCAUGUCAGGGCUGUGUUUUUGUUUUCUGCAUGUGGAUGAAAGUAAUGGACAUGUUAACAUUAAAAUGAAGGUUAACAUUCUUUGCACUUUUUCCAUUUGAGGAACCAGACAGUAUUAUUUGGUUUGCAUUUUUGGCAGGCAGCUGUCACAGUGUUGGCAUUGUAAUCACAAUGAACAAUGAAGAAAUGUGUUUUUUUGUUUUAACAUGGUUAUUUUUCCAGGAAAGUGGAAGUUUAAUAUUAUAAGGCUUUUCAUAUAAAGAUUUUCAAAGUAAAGCUUCAUGUAUGUUUGUGCGUUAUAAAGCUAGAACGAUAUAUCAGCAUAUAUAUUAGCUUAUUGCAGAUAUCAGUAUCGGUGUUGGGACCACUGGGACUCCACAGAUGAAUUUGUUCAUAUGUGACUUUAACUGAACAUAUUAAGAAUGCAUGCUCUUUUGUUCUGUAAACAAACGAGCACCACUAAACUCAGUCUCCCACAAUCCAUAGGUAUUCACACCUACCCUAGAUGUGAACUCCUUUUAUGCCCCCUCUUCCAGCUACCAUUGGUCAUUCUGACCUGUGACCCGUGAUGUCACCAGGUCAAUAAAAGGGUCAGCGACCAUUGUUCUUUUUCUCUCUUUUCUCCUCGCUCCAUGCCCAGACCUCGUGUAAUCUACUCGGAGCAGAAACACCAAACUGAACUCUCUGAUCUUUCAACAGCGUCACGGAUUCUGCAUCAAAGCUUAGUUAGCGCCAAUGGCUACUGCACAAAGUCUGCCAGCUAACUUUUACAAGCAGCUAAGGAAGUUAGUGGCAAGCUAACUAUAAGGAGAACAAAUAACGGAGCAACCAGCUUCCUCAGACCCCUACAAUCGGAAUACUGCACAGCAAGGACUUUUCCCGAAACCACAGUUCUUCUCCACCUAGCUAAUCCACCACAGAACCACCAGCAAACGGAGCAGUACACCAAGACGAGGCCUUGAAACUCAGCCAGCAGGCCCCUCCACCCUCAUCUCACCGUCUUCUUCCUUCACAUCGAUGCUGAUCGGGUCUCUUUCUCACAGCUAACAUCAGCUGCUUUGUGACAUGAGACAGCACGCCAUCUUCCUUCGAGUCAGUUCAACUUACUCCUCUUGUCAUGAAACCCAACCUCAUUUGAUCAGACAUCUAAAACACAGAGCAGUAUUGCUCCUUUAACAUGCUGACUCCAAUGAGCUGUAUAAAAAUCUUUUCCAGGAACAAGGAACUUAAUUGUUGAGUAAUUUCAACAAGGUAUCUGCAAAAGGUAUUCAUGUAGAUCAGGGGUUGUCAGAGUCUGACACUGUGCCCCCCCGCCCAGACAAACUUGCCCCAACUCAAUCUGGCACUUUUAAAAGUAUGCCGAAUUAGUUAUCAGCAAUUCCUGUUUGCAGCUUACCCAUGGAUUUACAGACAACUAUCACUGGAUUACUUUGAUACUGAAGAAACUUUAAAAAUGUGAUGAUUCUCGUUCUUAAGUUAUUAGGAGGGUCUUUUUUACUGUGAUUUCUAAGCAAAUUUAUGGACAAUUAUUUGUGAUGGACAUCAGGGAUAAUGAUAUCCUCGGAAAGGGUAAGUCACACUGAAUCUAAAAAUAUGUGCAUCAUGUCUGUGUGUUCAGAUUUGUUAUGACUCAGAGAACAAGUGCAAUUUUUGACGCUGAUUGCGACAAUUGCGUGCUAUGGGUUUUGAAGUAACUUAAUUGCCGACAUGGACUGUGUGUCACAGUUACUGUUGCUGCUUUAACUGUUGAUUAUGUUGGUGAUAGGCUCAAAUCAGCGGGCCAAACUACACUAACUAACUUCCUAAUGGUUUUAGAACACCGGUAUGCACCUGUCCCUUUCACCUAACACGGUAUCUUUACCUCAUGUCUCUCCCUCUGUGCCCCCUCUUCAACUCUCCUACGCCACCCUUGGGAAGCACGUCUCACAGUUUGAAAACCUCUGAUGUAGAUAAACACAGAUGUGGAUGAAAAUGUAAUCUUGCCACUAAACUGGAACUGAAACAAAUGCAAAAUAUCCAAAUGUUGGGCAGGCCGCGCACCUUGCCCAUGAUUUCAUCCCAGUGUACCAUCAGUUAUACAGUUGGGUUAUGAUUUAACAAUCUUCCAUGCCCGAUGUCCAUGCAGCAUACUGAGUCAAAUCAAAGUGACACACAGGGACAAUACGAGGGCCUGGUUAGCAUGGUACUUAUGUUAAACUUAUAUAUCAGAGAAAAGAGCUAGUUUACACACCUGUGACAGCUAGAAACAAAUACAUAUGAGGACAGCAACAGUUUUAUCAUCAGAAUAACUGUAACUCACUAUGGCCAUAAUGUAAGAGGAGCACCUCUACAGUAAGUCAUUGCCACUAAGUAAACAAAGUGGUAUAUUGUAGGAAGAGACAGCAGAAGCAGAGAUUGUGUGGUGAGACAUAAAACACAGUUCAACUUAUUUUAUUGCACUUUCGUAAAGCGCAUGUUUUUGUUGAAAUUAGAAGUUAUUGUUUUGGAAAAACAACUGGUGGUGACUACAAGGCUUCUAACAUUAAUACAUCUAUCAAUUCGAGAAAACUGACUGAAAGCAAGAAAUAUUGUUGAAAGAGUUGCUGCCUGAGAAGUCAGCUACUGCCUAUCCAGACAAUGGUCGGUGCUUUUAGAAAAUAUUGUGUUACAGGUACUGUAUCAUGAAAAGAGUCCGCAUCUUCCUCUCCAACUGGGCUAAACCAUCUUCUUUAGCGGCAUUAAACUUGGCUCUCUCACCACAUCCUAUAAUUCCUCCUAUCACUGCUAUGACACUUAACUGUCCUUUUGAUUCCCAGCUCUGACACACAGGUUGGGUUGCAUAUCUCCAAUUUACUAGCUGAGAUCUCCAAUUGGAUUCCUGCCAAACACCUCCCGAUUGACCUUGACAAGACUGAGCCGCUGUUCCCCUCUCAGAAAUCCUGCUCUUAACAACAGCCGUCAAUCACAAUGACACCCGCACAGUCGCUCAUUCCCAGACCGACGUUUAGUUUGAUCUUAGACAACCAACUGCUACAGCUGCUAUUGCAGAUUUGCUGUGUGUAAAAUCUGCUGACUCAGACGCAGUUGCUUGUGCAAACACUCUUUGUCUCCCAUCUGGACUGCUGCGGCUCCGAUCUGGCUGAGCAACCUGAAAAUAACUGCAACAAGACAGUUGUCAAACUAAACUUCAAAAUGUACUUGGGCUUGUUUCCUAUUACUGUAAUAAAAAGUUGUAAUAUACCGCAUGCAGAUCUCAUUUAAGAUACUGAAGAAUUACUGAAGCGACUGUUGAUGUACAGUCCUUACAUCAACAUAUUUACACUACAUUACCCAACUUAUAAGGGAAGCUUUGGAUUAAUAUUUCUCUAAUGAGGAAUCAAAAGGAAUCAAACAGCAAAUUUAUACAAUGCAAAAGGCAUCUGGGUAAAUUUGAUAGCAUUUCCCUACUUGUUUGUCCUCCCCUUUGUUCUGUAACUCAAUAUAACUGGAUAAUACUGGGAAAAAUACAUAAAGGAAAAGUUCAACAUUUUGGGAAAUAUGUUUGCUUGCUUUCUUCAUGUCUGUGCGGUAAAUAUGAAGCGACAGCCAGCAGCCAGUUAGCUUAGCUUCACAUACAGGCUGGAAGCAGAGAGAAAAAGCUAGCCUGAACAUUGUAUCUUGAUUUAUCCAUAAUCAUAUAAAUAAGACGUUAAGAAGUAUAAGAUGUUUUAGAGGUAUUGGCAAAUGUAUUUUUAACUUCAAACAGAGCCAGGCUAUCUGUUUCACCCUGUUUCCAGUCUGUGUGCUAAGCUAAGCUAACUGUCUCCUGGCUGUAGCUCAACAGAUAUGAGAGUGGUAUCAAUCUUCUCAUCUAACUCAGUUAAAUAUACAUUUACCAACACCUCUAAACAGAUUGAUUUAUAUGAUGUAUCUUGUUUGUUUAACCCGUAUAUGAACAGAUAUGUGAAAAGGAAAAUUUGUGAUUUUAAGGAGUGCUUUGGAGCUAUCUCUCACCGCUUGACAAAACAUGUCCUGAUUCUUUGUACAGACAGGCUGGAAUUUGUGCAACCUGCACAAACACAAUAAGUCACUAUGUUGUAAAACUCAGCUCAGGGACACAGGCUCCUUUAUGUGAUGUCAUCUGACACAAUAUGAAAAAAAAGCCCUUUUUAAGGGUACUGCUCAAAAGUGCAGACUUUUCCCUCUGAAUUUCUGCCCUUAUAUCUUAUAAAAUCAUACGUCACUUUUCAAAUGAUCAUUUCUAUGAAAUGUUAAGUAUAGAUUCAGUAAGAAAUUCAACUUGCUCUUUAACACACAUGACAUGGAAUUUGUAUCAAUCUUCUCAGCUUACUUUCAAAAAGAAAGCAAAUAAGCGGAUUUCCCAAAACAUUAACUAUUUAUUAAAGUCAUAAUCUGUAUGUCAUGCUUUGGAAACUGAUGACUAAUCAUAAAGUGAUCAAUUUUGCCUACAAAAUAUCAGGUGUCCAUGUUGAGGUUUAGGCUUUGUUACAUAUCUCUGUUGUUAUAGUGCAUCCCGACUGUAAGUUUCUGUUUCCAUGUAUAUAAAUGAAAGAUUCACUGAU